GCAAACGAAACUAAGAGUGGGAUUCACUGACACCAAUUUAAGAGGAUAAAUCAAGACACACAGAGAGCAGAAUACAAGAAAUAAGUAUGUGUGGUUACACUGGGCUGAACGGUGUGAGCAGCCAGGGAGUAGAAAUGGCAUCAAGUAAUAAAAAAACAAUACCAAGGAGAAGAAAGGGGUUUCCAUCCAUUCCCCGGACCAACCACUGUCACAUCUCCACCAAGAUUCCUCAGAUUUCUUUUUUCCUCAUUUCCUCCCCAACUCUUUAAAUCCCUGUGGAUAAUGGAAGUGAAUGUUUCUCUAAGCUUUCCUCCACUUCCAGGCUAAAGAAGUUAAUACAUGUUCCCUGUAAAGCUCAGCCUCUUUCACCUCGUCAGUACACAAUUUGUGUUAAACACUUCAUUUGGUUGUGAAAGACUUUAGUGCUUCACAUAGCUUAGCUUCACAUCUCACAGUCCUAAGUGUAGAUGCAUUGCACUGAAUUGAUAAAUCAACAUAAAUCAUAUGCUACAUUUAAAAUAAAGUGUAAUGCUUUGUCAGCUUUGUCAAGUUGUUUGGUCGAUGUGAUAUACUGACAUUACUUUUUGUUUUGUUUUCAUUACUGAUUUUCCACAUUGUUUUGUAAU
Poecilia reticulata (guppy) is the source of this 626-nucleotide long non-coding RNA. RefSeq lists it as uncharacterized. Lineage: Eukaryota; Metazoa; Chordata; Actinopteri; Cyprinodontiformes; Poeciliidae. The record is from RefSeq and is a predicted model, not a curated record.